This 428-nucleotide ribosomal RNA is filed under the name uncultured bacterium. RNAcentral's name for it is "partial 16S ribosomal RNA". It matches the Rfam family "Bacterial small subunit ribosomal RNA", at positions 354 to 796 of the family's 1533-position model. The record is from RNAcentral.
GUGGGGAAUAUUGGGCAAUGGGCGCAAGCCUGACCCAGCAACGCCGCGUGAAGGAAGAAGGCUUUCGGGUUGUAAACUUCUUUGACAGGGGACGAAACAAAUGACGGUACCCUGAAAACAAGCCACGGCUAACUACGUGCCAGCAGCCGCGGUAAUACGUAGGUGGCAAGCGUUAUCCGGAUUUACUGGGUGUAAAGGGCGUGUAGGCGGGAUUACAAGUCAGAUGUGAAAACUAUGGGCUCAACCCAUAGCCUGCAUUUGAAACUGUAGUUCUUGAGUGAUGGAGAGGCAGACGGAAUUCCUCGUGUAGCGGUGAAAUGCGUAGAUAUGAGGAGGAACACCAGUGGCGAAGGCGGUCUGCUGGACAUUAACUGACGCUGAGGCGCGAAAGCGUGGGGAGCAAACAGGAUUAGAAACCCCUGUAGUCC